AGUUUAGGAAUUAUUUUUUGUAUUUUUUUGUUUAUGUUAAAAUAAGAAUAUUAAUGUUUUAUUAUUUGGUAAGAAAAAAUUUCUUUUAUUAUAGUUUACUAGUAUUGUAAGAGAAUUUCUUUUAUUAUUAAAAAGAAGAUUUUUUUUAUUGUACCUUGUGUAUCAGGGCCUAUUAAUUAUUAUUAUAUAUUUAAUUUUCCCGAUUUUAGGAGAGCUAAUUAUUUAUAGUUGUUAUUGUAGAAUAAAUAUUUCCAAUAAAUAAUUGGAAACGAAAUGUUAUUCGUUCCUAAAUAUAUCUGGUUUUUUCAGAAAUGAAUUUAAUUCAAUUGAUUAAAGGUAAAGAUUUCUUUUAUUAAUUCUUUAUAUUUAUCAGUUAAUCUUACUAGGGAUGAGCUUAGUAACAAAUUUCUAUAAAUUAUUUUUACUCAGAGUAUGUAGGAUUAGAAGUUUUCAACGUUUACAUUAUGUUAUAUUUGUCUCUGUUUUAAUUAUUAUUUUUUUUUUAUUAGAUUUUAUAUGAAAAUAUAAUUUUUAACUUUAAAUGGUUAGUAAUAAUGAUAGGAUUAGUAUAUUUAUUUUGUUUAUUGGAUGAUUUUUAGAUUAAUAGAAGGAAUUCGGCAAUUUAUUUUCCACCUGUUUAUUAAAAACAUGGCCUUUUGAUCAUUAUUUAAGGUCUGGCCUGCCCACUGAAAUUUAAAGGGCCGCGGUAUUUUGACCGUGCAAAGGUAGCAUAAUAAUUAGUUUUUUAAUUGAAAGCUGGAAUGAAUGGUUUGAUGAGAAAAUUACUGUCUCCUAUUAAAUAAUAGAACUUUAUUUUUUAGUAAGAAGGCUUAAAUAUAAUUGAAAGACGAGAAGACCCUAUAGAGUUUGACAUAAAUUUUUAUGAAUUUAUUUUUGGUAUUAUAAGUUUUUAUAAAUAUUUCUGUUUAGUUGGGGCGAUUGAAAAAUUAAAUAAACUUUUUCUUUAUUUUUCCACUUUUUGGUGCAUUAUUGAUCCAUAUAUAUAUGAUUAUAAGAUAAAAUUACCUUAGGGAUAACAGCGUUAUUUCUUUUGAGAGUUCUUAUCGAAAAAGAAGUUUGCGACCUCGAUGUUGGAUUAAAAUUAAUUUUUGGUGUAGAGGCUGAAAUAUUAGGUCUGUUCGACCUUUAAAAUUUUACAUGAUCUGAGUUUAGACCGGCGUGAGCCAGGUUGGUUUCUAUCUUCAGUAAAUACAGAUAAUCUAGUACGAAAGGACCGAUUUUCUAAUAAAUUAUUUUUUUUUGAAUAUUAUU
This 1272-nucleotide ribosomal RNA is filed under the name Xixuthrus sp. ANIC_25-067096. Its description in RNAcentral is "large subunit ribosomal RNA". The stretch from base 842 to 1205 matches the Rfam family "Archaeal large subunit ribosomal RNA", at positions 2151 to 2715 of the family's 2987-position model. The record is from RNAcentral. Lineage: Eukaryota; Metazoa; Arthropoda; Insecta; Coleoptera; Cerambycidae.